This 429-nucleotide ribosomal RNA is filed under the name Fusobacteriota bacterium. RNAcentral describes it as "Fusobacteria bacterium partial 16S ribosomal RNA". It matches the Rfam family "Bacterial small subunit ribosomal RNA", at positions 355 to 776 of the family's 1533-position model. The record is from RNAcentral. Lineage: Bacteria; Fusobacteriati; Fusobacteriota.
UGGGGAAUCUUCCGCAAUGGACGAAAGUCUGACGGAGCAACGCCGCGUGAGUGAAGACGGCCUUCGGGUUGUAAAGCUCUGUGAUCCGGGACGAAAGAGCCUGAGGUAAAUAGCCUAAGGAAGUGACGGUACCGGAAAAGCAAGCCACGGCUAACUACGUGCCAGCAGCCGCGGUAAUACGUAGGUGGCAAGCGUUGUCCGGAAUUAUUGGGCGUAAAGCGCGCGCAGGCGGCUUCCUAAGUCCAUCUUAAAAGUGCGGGGCUUAACCCCGUGAUGGGAUGGAAACUGGGAAGCUGGAGUAUCGGAGAGGAAAGUGGAAUUCCUAGUGUAGCGGUGAAAUGCGUAGAGAUUAGGAAGAACACCGGUGGCGAAGGCGACUUUCUGGACGAAAACUGACGCUGAGGCGCGAAAGCGUGGGGAGUAAACAGG